ACUCAAAUGAAUAGACGGGGGCCCGCACAAGCGGUGGAGCAUGUGGUUUAAUUCGAUGCAACGCGAAGAACCUUACCAGGUCUUGACAUCCAAAGAAUCCUGAUGAAAGUCGGGAGUGCCUUAGGGAGCUUUGAGACAGGUGGUGCAUGGUUGUCGUCAGCUCGUGUCGUGAGAUGUUGGGUUAAGUCCCGCAACGAGCGCAACCCUUGCUAUUAGUUGCUAACAGGUUAAGCUGAGCACUCUAAUGGGACUGCCGGUGACAAGCCGGAGGAAGGUGGGGAUGACGUCAAAUCAUCAUGCCCUUUAUGAUCUGGGCUACACACGUGCUACAAUGGAUGGUACAGAGAGCGGCGAUACAGUGAUGUGGAGCGAAUCUCAAAAAGCCAUUCUCAGUUCGGAUUGUAGUCUGCAACUCGACUACAUGAAGUCGGAAUCGCUAGUAAUCGCGAAUCAGCAUGUCGCGGUGAAUGCGUUCCCGGGCCUUGUACACACCGCCCGU
This 499-nucleotide ribosomal RNA is filed under the name uncultured bacterium. RNAcentral describes it as "bacterial SSU rRNA". It matches the Rfam family "Bacterial small subunit ribosomal RNA", at positions 899 to 1397 of the family's 1533-position model. The record is from RNAcentral.